GCAGCAUGGUGGUCUGAUGAGCUGCCUGAAGUGUGCGUCACAGGUGGGCCCACCAGGAGCCCCUGCAGCUGAGCAGCCCUGCAGACGCAUGACAGCAUCUGGUGAAACUUCAUUUCCACACAGGUGUUGGUGACAUGGCUGAAUCCUGCAGAAAUGAGUGAUUCCCUUGCUUCUUUCCUUUGUGGCCUUGACUACGCAGCUCCAAGAGGGAAAGAGUGGAGAAAUUGCUAUUCCAGUACUCAGAGACAUGAGUCCAGUGGUUCUAGGAGGAUUCAGGAAUCAAAGAGGGACAACACAGCAGAGAUGGAGAUGAACGCGUCUCUCAUAGCAGAAAGAGGAGAGAUGCACAAAAAGCAAGGAUGUGGGAGCCCUCGUGAGGACUUCUCAGCAAGCCAGCCUACAUGCACUGUGAUGACCUGAAAGCCCAGUCAUCUGCAGACUUUGAAGGGAACAUGAGUCACCCAACUCCCUAAAUGUUACACUCUACAAGUAUUGCCUCCGUGCCUUACCUGAAAUCUUCCAUCAAGCACAUGAAGAACUGAGACAUGUUGCUGAUUCCUCGUGGUCCUACAACCCAGCUUCACAGAGAUACCUAGCCUCCUGAUAUCAGGGAGCUGAGGCAAAGAGCACAGAAAGGCAUUGCAGUGUGACCAAGAUCAUGCA
Molecule: long non-coding RNA, 663 nt
Organism: Fukomys damarensis (Damara mole-rat)
Lineage: Eukaryota; Metazoa; Chordata; Mammalia; Rodentia; Bathyergidae
Exons: 5
Source: RefSeq, a predicted model, not a curated record